CCUACGGGUGGCAGCAGUGAGGAAUAUUGGUCAAUGGGCUUACGCCUGAACCAGCCAAGUCGCGUGAGGGAAGACUGCCCUAUGGGUUGUAAACCUCUUUUGUCAGGGAGCAAUGGGCGCUACGUGUAGCGUUUUCCAUAGUACUUGUAGAAAAAGCAUCGGCUAACUCCGUCCCACCAGCCGCGGUAAUACGGAGGUUGCGAGCGUUAUCCGGUUUUAUUGGGUUUAAGGGGUGCUCGGGCGGAGGUGCAAGUCAGUGGUCAAGUUUGGGGGCUCACCCCCGUAUUGCCGUUGAGACUGGAACCCUUGAGUACACGAGAGGUAUGCGGAAUGUGUGGUGUAGCGGUGAAAUGCAUAGAUAUCACGAAGAACUCCGAUUGCGAAGGCAGCAUGCCGGCGCGCAACUGACGCUCAUGCACGAAAGCGUGGGUAUCGAACAGGAUUAGAUACCCUUGUAGUC
This 460-nucleotide ribosomal RNA is filed under the name uncultured bacterium. Its description in RNAcentral is "partial 16S ribosomal RNA". It matches the Rfam family "Bacterial small subunit ribosomal RNA", at positions 338 to 795 of the family's 1533-position model. The record is from RNAcentral.